Dentipellis sp. KUC8613 is the source of this 90-nucleotide non-coding RNA. Lineage: Eukaryota; Fungi; Basidiomycota; Agaricomycetes; Russulales; Hericiaceae. The record is from the annotation of a GenBank genome assembly.
GGGCACAUGGUGUAGUUGGUUAUCACGUUCGCUUCGCACUUUACGGUCGGCAUCUGCGAAAGGUGUCCGGUUCAAUUCCGGAUGUGUCCA